This 778-nucleotide ribosomal RNA is filed under the name uncultured bacterium. RNAcentral describes it as "bacterial SSU rRNA". It matches the Rfam family "Bacterial small subunit ribosomal RNA", at positions 670 to 1447 of the family's 1533-position model. The record is from RNAcentral.
CAUGUGUAGCGGUGAAAUGCGUAGAUAUAUGGAGGAACACCAGUGGCGAAAGCGGCUCUCUGGUCUGUCACUGACGCUGAGGCUCGAAAGCGUGGGUAGCGAGCAGGAUUAGAUACCCUGGUAGUNCACGCCGUAAACGAUGAGUGCUAGGUGUUAGGCCCCUUCCGGGGCUUAGUGCCGGAGCUAACGCAAUAAGCACUCCGCCUGGGGAGUACGACCGCAAGGUUGAGACUCAAAGGAAUUGACGGGGGCCCGCACAAGCGGUGGAGCAUGUGGUUUAAUUCGAAGCAACGCGAAGAACCUUACCAGGUCUUGACAUCCCGAUGCUAUUCUUAGAGAUAGGAAGAUACUUCGGUACAUCGGAGACAGGUGGUGCAUGGUUGUCGUCAGCUCGUGUCGUGAGAUGUUGGGUUAAGUCCCGCAACGAGCGCAACCCUUAUUGUUAGUUGCCAUCAUUAAGUUGGGCACUCUAGCGAGACUGCCGGUAAUAAACCGGAGGAAGGUGGGGAUGACGUCAAAUCAUCAUGCCCCUUAUGACCUGGGCUACACACGUGCUACAAUGGUCGGUACAACGAGUUGCGAGCCGGUGACGGCAAGCUAAUCUCUGAAAGCCGAUCUCAGUUCGGAUUGGAGGCUGCAACUCGCCUCCAUGAAGUCGGAAUCGCCAGUAAUCGCGGAUCAGCACGCCGCGGUGAAUACGUUCCCGGGCCUUGUACACACCGCCCGUCACACCACGAGAGUUUGUAACACCCGAAGUCGGUGAGGUANCCUUUUAGGG